This 489-nucleotide ribosomal RNA is filed under the name uncultured bacterium. Its description in RNAcentral is "bacterial SSU rRNA". It matches the Rfam family "Bacterial small subunit ribosomal RNA", at positions 801 to 1298 of the family's 1533-position model. The record is from RNAcentral.
UGAAACGAUAAAUACUCCCUGUUUGCAAUGUGCAAUAAGCGGCCAAGCAAAAGCGUGAAGUAUUCCACCGGGGGAGUACGCCGGCAACGGUGAAACUCAAAGGAAUUGACGGGGGCCCGCACAAGCGGAGGAACAUGUGGUUUAAUUCGAUGAUACGCGAGGAACCUUACCCGGGCUGGAAUUGGAGUCGAAUAGAGUGGAGAGAUCAGAGCCGGAAGGCGAGUGUGAAGUGCUACGUGGUUGUCGUCAGCUCGUGCCGUGAGGUGUCGGCUUAAGUGCCAUAACGAGCGCAGCCCUUAUGUCCAGUGACCAGCGGGUCAUGCGGGGGACUCUGGGAAGACGGCCGGCGUAAGAUGUGAGGAAGGUGGGGAUGACGUCAAAUCAGCACGGCCCUUACGUCCGGGGCUACACACGUGUUACAAUGGGUGGUACAGAAGGCAGCUACACGGCAACGUGAUGCUAAUCCCAAAAACCACUCUCAGUUCGGAU